ACUCCAUCUCAGAAAAAAAAAAAAAAAGAAAGCCUAGCCUCCCGGGAGUGCAGCCCAGCAGGUCUCAGCCUUAUUUUACCCAGCCCCUGUUCAAGAUGGAGGAGUCACUCUGGUUCAAAUGCCUCUGACGGUCCUACAGGGCUCAGACAGCCCCCAGGACAAAUUACCCAGCACCAAUGUCAGCAGUGCUGCCAGUGGGAGACCUUGCUUCAAAUUAAUCUUUCAGGACCAGGGAAAUGGGAAUCUGAGUUUUGGGAGGGGGAAAAAAUAGGUUUUCUAUGUUGUGUAAAAAUAUGUUUAUUAUCAAGGGAAGACCUCCCACCGAGACCCACUGAGAUUAGUACAGCCUGUAAUUCAGGCCUUUUCUGUGGUGAUUGAUUUAAGACAAGCAGAGAAUUAAUUGGUUUAAACGUUCUGACCUGAAAGUGAGUCUCAGUUGGUGGAUGCAUGUGUCUGGCACAUAGAAGAUGCUCAAUAAACAUUUGUGGAAUAAAUACAGGAGGGAAUGCUGGCUUCGGGGAGAGAGUGGGGGGCUUAGCAGCAAUGUCCAGCUGAGUUACAGCAUCUUUUUCUUUUCCCAGCUAGAGACGGCUUGGCGCUUGAGGUUUUAUGUUGUUUUCAGCCAGGGUGCCCCAGAAAGCCCGAGGAUCAGCCUGGGGGGCCCAGCCAGAGCAAGCCGAGGAUGAGGGGGUACCCAAUAACUGCACCAAGAAAUAAAGGAAACGAAUCUCCCAAAUUUCACAUCCUCCCAAGACACUUCCCAGCUUCAAAGCAAUAAUUAAAAAUGUUCUUUGGAGUAGCAAUUUUUACAUUUCAUUGCAAAUAUUUUCCCUUAUUCGACAUCUUUUUAAGAAACCCACCUGCUGGACAGGUGCGGUGGCUCAGGCCUGUAAUCCCAGCACUUUGGGAGGCCAAGGCGGGUGGAUCACGAGGUCAAGAGAUCGAGACCAUCCUGGCCAACAUGGUGAAACCCCGUCUCUACUAAAAAUACAAAAAAUUAGCCAGGCGUGGUGGCAGGCGCCUGUAGUCCCAGCUACUCGAGAGGCUGAGGCAG
This 1054-nucleotide long non-coding RNA is filed under the name Homo sapiens (human). RNAcentral's name for it is "HSALNT0156674". Lineage: Eukaryota; Metazoa; Chordata; Mammalia; Primates; Hominidae. The record is from RNAcentral.